This 138-nucleotide ribosomal RNA is filed under the name uncultured fungus. Its description in RNAcentral is "partial 18S ribosomal RNA". It matches the Rfam family "Eukaryotic small subunit ribosomal RNA", at positions 452 to 587 of the family's 1831-position model. Lineage: Eukaryota; Fungi. The record is from RNAcentral.
CGAUACGGGGAGGUAGUGACAAUAAAUACUGAUACGGGGCUCUUUUGGGUCUCGUAAUUGGAAUGAGAACAAUUUAAAUCCCUUAACGAGGAACAAUUGGAGGGCAAGUCUGGUGCCAGCAGCCCCCCCGUGCCCCCG